This 1220-nucleotide ribosomal RNA is filed under the name Lacticaseibacillus rhamnosus. RNAcentral describes it as "bacterial SSU rRNA". It matches the Rfam family "Bacterial small subunit ribosomal RNA", at positions 239 to 1449 of the family's 1533-position model. The record is from RNAcentral. Lineage: Bacteria; Bacillati; Bacillota; Bacilli; Lactobacillales; Lactobacillaceae.
UAUUAGCUAGUUGGUGAGGUAACGGCUCACCAAGGCAAUGAUACGUAGCCGAACUGAGAGGUUGAUCGGCCACAUUGGGACUGAGACACGGCCCAAACUCCUACGGGAGGCAGCAGUAGGGAAUCUUCCACAAUGGACGCAAGUCUGAUGGAGCAACGCCGCGUGAGUGAAGAAGGCUUUCGGGUCGUAAAACUCUGUUGUUGGAGAAGAAUGGUCGGCAGAGUAACUGUUGUCGGCGUGACGGUAUCCAACCAGAAAGCCACGGCUAACUACGUGCCAGCAGCCGCGGUAAUACGUAGGUGGCAAGCGUUAUCCGGAUUUAUUGGGCGUAAAGCGAGCGCAGGCGGUUUUUUAAGUCUGAUGUGAAAGCCCUCGGCUUAACCGAGGAAGUGCAUCGGAAACUGGGAAACUUGAGUGCAGAAGAGGACAGUGGAACUCCAUGUGUAGCGGUGAAAUGCGUAGAUAUAUGGAAGAACACCAGUGGCGAAGGCGGCUGUCUGGUCUGUAACUGACGCUGAGGCUCGAAAGCAUGGGUAGCGAACAGGAUUAGAUACCCUGGUAGUCCAUGCCGUAAACGAUGAAUGCUAGGUGUUGGAGGGUUUCCGCCCUUCAGUGCCGCAGCUAACGCAUUAAGCAUUCCGCCUGGGGAGUACGACCGCAAGGUUGAAACUCAAAGGAAUUGACGGGGGCCCGCACAAGCGGUGGAGCAUGUGGUUUAAUUCGAAGCAACGCGAAGAACCUUACCAGGUCUUGACAUCUUUUGAUCACCUGAGAGAUCAGGUUUCCCCUUCGGGGGCAAAAUGACAGGUGGUGCAUGGUUGUCGUCAGCUCGUGUCGUGAGAUGUUGGGUUAAGUCCCGCAACGAGCGCAACCCUUAUGACUAGUUGCCAGCAUUUAGUUGGGCACUCUAGUAAGACUGCCGGUGACAAACCGGAGGAAGGUGGGGAUGACGUCAAAUCAUCAUGCCCCUUAUGACCUGGGCUACACACGUGCUACAAUGGAUGGUACAACGAGUUGCGAGACCGCGAGGUCAAGCUAAUCUCUUAAAGCCAUUCUCAGUUCGGACUGUAGGCUGCAACUCGCCUACACGAAGUCGGAAUCGCUAGUAAUCGCGGAUCAGCACGCCGCGGUGAAUACGUUCCCGGGCCUUGUACACACCGCCCGUCACACCAUGAGAGUUUGUAACACCCGAAGCCGGUGGCGUAACCCUUUUAGGGAGC